UGGGGAAUAUUGCGCAAUGGGCGAAAGCCUGACGCAGCGACGCCGCGUGAGGGAUGACGGCCUUCGGGUUGUAAACCUCUUUCAGUAGGGACGAAGCGCAAGUGACGGUACCUACAGAAGAAGCACCGGCCAACUACGUGCCAGCAGCCGCGGUAAUACGUAGGGUGCAAGCGUUGUCCGGAAUUAUUGGGCGUAAAGAGCUCGUAGGCGGUCUGUCACGUCGGCUGUGAAAACCCGAGGCUCAACCUCGGGCCUGCAGUCGAUACGGGCAAACUAGAGUACUGCAGGGGAGACUGGAAUUCCUGGUGUAGCGGUGAAAUGCGCAGAUAUCAGGAGGAACACCGGUGGCGAAGGCGGGUCUCUGGGCAGUAACUGACGCUGAGGAGCGAAAGCGUGGGGAGCGAACAG
This 408-nucleotide ribosomal RNA is filed under the name uncultured bacterium. RNAcentral's name for it is "bacterial SSU rRNA". It matches the Rfam family "Bacterial small subunit ribosomal RNA", at positions 355 to 775 of the family's 1533-position model. The record is from RNAcentral.